AAAGUUGAAGAGUUUCGGUUUUUUUUUUUUUUUUUUUGGGGGUUUUUUUUUUUUU
Molecule: non-coding RNA, 55 nt
Filed under: Rhodosorus marinus
Lineage: Eukaryota; Rhodophyta; Stylonematophyceae; Stylonematales; Stylonemataceae
Source: RNAcentral